ACACGGACCCCACGAGCGCGGCGGCGGCGACAGCAGCGGGCCAGGCAAGAGCACAACAUGGCGGCGGGCAGGACGGACCGAGCUACAGCAGCGGCCGCGCGAGGAAGUGAGGAGAUGGAGUUUUGCUCUUGUUGCCGGGGCUGCAGUGCAAUGGUGCAAUCUCGGUUCACUGCGACCUCCGCCUCUCGGGUUCAAGCGAUUCUCCUUUCUCAGCCUACCGAGUAGCUGGGAUUACAGGCGCGUGCCACCAGGCCCGGCUAAUUUUUGUGUUUUUAGUAGAGACGGGGUUUCAUUAUGUUGAUCAGGCUGGUCUGGAACUCCUGACCUCAGGUGAUCCACCUGCCUUGGCCUCCCAAAGUGCUGGGAUUACAGACGUGAGCCACCGCCCCUGGCCUAAAUUUAACCAUCUUUAAGUAUACAUUUCAGUGACAUUAAGCCUGUUCACGUUGUGCAUCCAUCAGCAGAAUUUGUCAUUAUCCCAUACUGAAAUUCUGUAUACGUUAAACGCUUACGCCCUAUUCUCUUUUCCCCAGCCUCUGGUAACCACCAUUCUACUUUCACCUUUUGGCCACUGUGAAUGAUGCUUCUGUGGACAUUAGUAUACAAAUAUCUGUUGGAGUCCCUGCUUUCAAUUAUUGGGGGUAUAUACCCAGAAGUGAAAUUGCUGGAUUAUAUGGCAAUUCUUAUGUUUAAUUUUUUUUUUUUUUUGAGGAGCCACCAUACUGUUUUCCAUAGCAUCAUACCAUUUUACAUUCCCAAUGGUAGAAGGUUUUACAGAAGAUAGUGACAUGAUCAAAACUAUGAUUAAAAGCAAUCUGGAAAAGAGAGUAAGAUGGAGUAGAGUGGCAGAAUGACCAUGUGGAGACUUCCACAAUGGUUUAGGCAAGAUAUAAUGAGGGCGAGGGCCUGAACACAUCAUCAGCAAUGAGAAUGGAGGAAAGAGGAUACAAAUGCUGAGGUGAUAUUGCCAAGGAAAGAUUGUAAGGACUUGACCAUUGACUGGCGAUUGAGGGGUUAGGGAACAAGAAAAUUAAGGGUUUUUUUUGUUUUUGUUUUUGAGACGGAGUCUCAUUCUGUCACCCAGGCUGGAGUGCAGUGGCGCAAUCUCAGCUCACUGCAAACUCCGCCUCCCGGGUUCACGCCAUUCUCCUGCCGCAGCCUCCCGAGUAUGUGGGACUACAGGCACCAGCGACCAUGCUCGGCUAAUUUUUUUGUAUUUUUUUAGUAGAAACGGUGGGUUUCACCGUGUUAGCCAGGAAGGUCUCGAUCUCCUGACCUCAUGAUCCACCCACCUCAGCCUCCCAAAGUGCUGGGAUUACAGGCGUGAGCCACUGUGCCCGGCCAAAUUAAGGUGUUUAAUAUGACUCCCAUGUGUCACACCUGGGAGGAUGGUAGUCUUCAGAUGAAGAGUCAGGGUAUGGAGAAGUCAUGAGUUCAAGUUUGGAUAUAUAGAGUUCGAAUUACAAGUGGCACAUUGUAAGCUGUGGGGUGGACAUUUGUUGUCUUGCCUGCUGAAUACCCCUUGCCCUUUCAACUGGUAAUGGCACUCUACUUUUUUUCUUUUGAGACAGAGUUUCGCUCUUGUCACCCAGGCUGGAGUGUAGUGGUGUGAUCUCAGCUCACUGCAACCUCUGCCUCCCAGGUUCGAGCUAUUCUCCUGCCUUAGCCUCCCAAGUAGCUGGGAUUACAGGUGCCCACCACCACACCCAGCUAAUUUUUUGUAUUUUUAGUAAAGACGGGGUUUCACCAUGUUGGCCAAGCUGGUCUUGAACUCCUGACCUCAGGUGAUCUGCCCCCCUGCCUCAGCCUCCCGUAGUGCUGAGAUUAUAGGCGUAAGCCACUGCGUCCAGCCUACUUUUUUUUUUUUUCUUUAAAGGUUGUAGAAUUUAUCCUUCUUCAUCUAUGUAUUGGCUAGGCUGGGAGGGUGUGUGGCCAUGAGAAUGUGCUUCUCAGAUCUCUGACUGAGGAAAUUGUAAUUUACCAGCAGUCCAGCUGCUGAGUUCUGAAAUCCAUCCUGAGCUUUGAAAUCCAUUGCCCUUUACUCCGAGGUCUUACUUCCCAUACGCUGCUCAUAGCCAAUAACUGAGCCCAACGGGGAUUUUAGGACAGGACUGUUCCUGGGAUAAGUGAUACUCUUCCGAUGGGUGACUUUGACUCAAGGACUCCUCAAUGGCCUUGCCAAACUUUCCUUAGAACUUCAUUGCAGUCUGAGACACUUCCACCUUGAACACCUUCCCUCUGUCCUUCACUCAGGGUCAGGCCUGCGUCACUGUGCGAUGGCUCUCUCAGUCUUCCCCUUCCAUUUCCUCUCAUAAUAAAUUUUUUUAUUUAUUAUAUAUUAAUAUAUAUUAUAUUAUAUAAUAUAUAUAUAAUAUAAUUAUAUUAUAU
This 2388-nucleotide long non-coding RNA is filed under the name Homo sapiens (human). Its description in RNAcentral is "non-protein coding NFYC-AS1:4". Lineage: Eukaryota; Metazoa; Chordata; Mammalia; Primates; Hominidae. The record is from RNAcentral.